RNAcentral lists this transfer RNA (118 nucleotides) under Janibacter sp. HTCC2649. RNAcentral describes it as "tRNA-Ala". The record is from RNAcentral. Lineage: Bacteria; Bacillati; Actinomycetota; Actinomycetes; Micrococcales; Intrasporangiaceae.
UCCGGUGUCGUGCACGAGGCCCACCGCUACCUCGCGGGGAGCUCCACGCGUUCCUCUCGGACACGCUGCUCCUCAGUGGUGACCCGUUCGAGCCGCCGAUCGAACUGCCGCGCUGGGG